GCCAUGGGCAGCUUUUCCGGGGUGGCAGGCGGCACAGUUGGAGAAGGCCACCGUGCGCAGGGCCACCAGAGCAUUACUUUCUCCCGUGGAGGUCACCUGCUAAGUGUGGCCGCCCGGGCUCUGGCAAGGCUCUGGGAGCUGGUGUUGGGUAAGAGCGAGUCCCCGCAGUGCCUGCCCAGACAGGGCGGAGAGGAGCCGCCGGGGGGAGCGGCCUGGCCUUGGGGCUGCUGCGGGGCGGGUGGCCGGAGGGCGGAGGGCGGGCCACCACGAGCCUGGCCGAGCCGCUGCUUGUGCUUGGUGCCAGCACACGCCUGGCGGCGCCGUUUCGCUUCCCUUUUUGUGAGCCUGCGGCUGCUUCUCUGCGCUUGCCUGGAUGCUGCCGCCUGUUGAAGCUGCGUUUUUCUCUCCUGUUUGCAGGUGUCUUUAACCACGCGGUGCCUUCCGCCUCUGCUCAUCC
This 457-nucleotide long non-coding RNA is filed under the name Pan troglodytes (chimpanzee). RNAcentral describes it as "long non-coding RNA NONPTRT007899". Lineage: Eukaryota; Metazoa; Chordata; Mammalia; Primates; Hominidae. The record is from RNAcentral.